Molecule: ribosomal RNA, 253 nt
Filed under: uncultured bacterium
Lineage: Bacteria
Description: partial 16S ribosomal RNA
Rfam family: Bacterial small subunit ribosomal RNA
Source: RNAcentral
UACAGAGGGCCCAAGCGUUGUUCGGAUUCACUGGGCGUAAAGGAUGCGUAGGCGGUCGGGUAAGUCUGACGUGAAAUCUUCAAGCUCAACUUGGAAACUGCGUCCGAUACUAUUCGGCUAGAGGAAUGGAGGGGAGACUGGAAUACUUGGUGUAGCAGUGAAAUGCGUAGAUAUCAAGUGGAACACCAGUGGCGAAGGCGGCCGUCUGGACGGUGACUGACGCUGAGACGCGAAAGCGUGGGGAGCAAACAGG